This 3972-nucleotide long non-coding RNA is filed under the name Medicago truncatula (barrel medic). RNAcentral's name for it is "long non-coding RNA (MTRU_LNC006420)". The record is from RNAcentral. Lineage: Eukaryota; Viridiplantae; Streptophyta; Magnoliopsida; Fabales; Fabaceae.
CUUGAACCCAUGCUUGCCUCCACCAUGUUUGCCAAACUUUCCAUGCUUGAAUUUGCCAUGCUUUCCCCCCUUGAACUUGCCAUGCUGCUUGAAUUUUCCGUGGCCCAUGUGACCCAUGUGACUGCCACCAUGUGCAUAGCCGCCCUGUGGGUAUCCGCCCUGUGGGUAGCCGCCUGGUGGAUAAUGGCCGCCGUGAGCGCCAUGGGAGACAUGGUGAGCACCAUAAGCAGCGGCAGCAGCAGCUGCACCCCCAGCAAGCAUUGCUCCCAUACCACCAUGUCCAUGAGACCCUGGUGAUAACAACAGUAGAAAACUUAGCAGGUUCCAAGGAUUUUGGUGUAAAUCAUAGACAGCAGAAAAGAGUUUCAAACAGUUGCAUCAAUUAAUUAAGAAAAAAGUGCUUCAAAGAUCAGAUAAAUUUGAAAUACUUCAAGAGUGCAAAACCAUCACCAGAAGACAUCGACAGAUCUAAUUACCACCAUCAAGUUCAGUAAGUCUCAGUUAUGAAAUCUUUUUUACCAAAAUAAUCAGUUGUUGAGAGUUCCAAGGGAGCCUAAAAUCCACCAAUGAGACAAGCAAUAAACCACAAAUCACGACGACAAACCAACACAUUGGAUGAGUCUAUUCUUUUGUAUUAUUUUCAUUUAGUCCAUUUCAAGCCAAUGUGGAGAAGCCUUCAAAGUUGGAGUCUCCACAUUGAGUGUUUCUUUUAAGCCAAAGUUAGAGUCUCAACAUAUUGCAUACUUAGUUUUAAGUCAAAUACUCGAGUCACCAGCUACCUGUCAGAAUAAUGGGAUAUGUCUCCAAAUAUUCAAACAAUGGACCCUGAUACCACUUAAUGUAGUUUCUAGAGAUUCGCAAAAGCGAGUGACCUGCACUAAUGGGAUGAGCAACAAACCAAUAUUGACGACGUGACACUGACACCACAAUUUUACUAAAAACCUUAACAAAAUAAGGAUAUGUUCUGUUGAAUAAUCUUCAUUUAUCCUAUUCCUAACCAUUGGAUAAUUUAUUUUUACGACUUAGAGUUUAACUCCCACAAUUAGUAUGUGAGUACCAUUGUAUGUGAAUUGUGGUUUCACAGCUAAAUCAGUAUGGUAGAUUAUGUAGUACUAAAAGACAUUUUUAUUUCACUAUAGUUAAUUUAUAUGCUUCUAAGUAGGCAUCUUCACAAAAUUUUACAACUACAACAAAAAUCAGGAUUCAAUUAUACAAGUUUUCAAGUAAUUGUAUCUCUUGACACCGACACACAUGCUUGCAUUUAUACAUUUAUAACGUCCAUUUUUCAAAUUAUUAUUGGUGUCAGUGUCCAAUGCACGUGUGUGAGUGUUUCAUAGAUUGUAAUAAUUAGUAAAUACAAGGCAUAACAUAACAAUGAAAAACGAAUUUGAAAGGAAACACACCGGCAUGUUGACCCGCAUGUGCACCAGGAUAACCAGCAGGAGGGUACCCUUGUUGUGGAGGGUAUCCACUAGGAGGAUAACCUUGUUGUGGAGGAUACCCAGCAGGUGGAUAACCUUGUUGUGGAGGGUAUCCUUGCUGUGGAGGGUAUGCACCAGGUGGGUAACCAUGUCCUCCAUGUCCACCAUGUGCAGCAGCACCAGCUAUACCUUGAGCAAGAUGUGAAAACACCCCUUUGUCAGAAGAUUCAUCAUGUUUGUCCUUACCACCUCCCAUCUUUUAAACCAGACAAUAAAACACCUGAUCCAAAAAUUACAAAUUGUUACAGCAGAAUCAGAUCAUAAAAACAAAGAACCACAAACAUGGAAAUAUUGAAUCCCUAAUCAGAUCAUAAUUACAAAUCAAUGUUGACUAAACACAAUUAUAUGUGUCAGUGUCGUGUUGGAUAUCAGACACGCCUUCAAUCAAAUGUGUCUGACACUCACAAAAAAGCUAACAAUGAUGAUCUAUGGAAAUAAAGAAGCUAUGAAAUUGAUGAUAAUGAGUAAAGAAAACAAUAGGGAACUAACCUUUGAAUAAGAGAAAGAAAUUGAGAAAUUGGAAUGGAAGAAGAGAGAAAGAGGGAUCGUGUGAAUAUAUAUAUAUAGUAUAGUAUAGUAUAGUUGCGUAGCGUAAGACAAAAAGAGAGAAAGGAUCAGAACCAAAUACCGCGUUAAGCAUUCUUACUACGCGUCAUCAACGCGCCCAAUUGUCGUUGUCAUAGAGUGACACGUGGGAACCUUUAAUUGCACAAUGUAUUCUUCAUCUACUUCUUUUUUUGGUUAGAGGUCAAUUUUCUUGAUUCAUUCCAAUAUAAGGAUAUUUCUAUCAACAACUUGGAUAUUUUUUCAAUAAAGAAAAAGGUUAAUUAUUAAUAAUUUAAUGCAGUAAAAAUGAUUUGAAAUUUUUGUAAACUUUUAAAAAUGUAAAAAAUACUCUUUUUAUUAUAAAAUUAAAAAGAAAAUUGAAAUUUUUGUAAUUAAACUUUUAAAAGUGUAGAAAAUAUUAUUUUUCAGUGUAAAUUUUCUACUUUUGUUUUUCUUUACUGGUGCCCCAGAAGCUUUAGGUAGCAUCACGCUUCUAUAAAUUACGUACAAUUAUAUUUUUGUGUAUUUGUAAAAGUUUUGAUUGUGUAAUGUAUGCAAUAGUGCAUAUUUUGAUUCUCUUCUCUUCAUCAUUUUCCCACCUUCUUCAAUUUCUUUUUAUUUCUCUCUUGAUCUUUUUUCUCUCUCUUGGUGAAGUAGGGAGAAGAAGAGAAUAAGGGAAAUGUGAGAUUUCGAAUUCGCAAUAUCCUACGUGUUAAAAUAACUAAAAAUAUUUUUUUUAAUGAAAGCUUUCAAUUAUUUAUUCAAAAAUUAAAUAUUUAAUAUAAAAUUACAAGUUUUCAAACAAACUUACAAUCUUAAACUUUUUUUUAGAUAGUAAAUAAUCAAUUACCCCCGAAAUUGCAAUUUCGUCAAAACUCCCCCUAAAUUUUGCAAAACUUCCAAAACAUCCUUGAAAUUGUCAAACGUUAGUCAGCCAUCCAUCUUCAUUUAUUUUAACUAUUACAUCCUAUAACGUGGAUUGAAGGUUAUGCCACAUGUGGUAAUUGAUUUUUUUUUCUUCUUAUUUUUUGAGUAUAAAAUUUGUUUGAUUAUAUAAAUAGACAAAUAAUCCCCUCAAAUUUAGCACUUAUCUACAAAUACUUUCCUCAAAUUUUAAAUUUAUGUAACAAAUACUCCCCAAAAACUUAUGCGCAAAACAUCAGCAAUUAGAGAGGGUGGGAUACACCUUAGAACAGUUGAUAAGAGAAACAAAGAAAUGGGGUUUUAACUUUAUAAUAAUUGUUUAGAGACUAAAUAAGUUUAUACUAUUAUAUAUCAAACACAAUAUUAUUGUUCUGGUAAUAGUCAAUGUUCCACCCUUCUACUAGCUUGAUCUUGUGGCCCUUUGCUCUACCAACCAAUCAGGAUCAUUUUCAGUUGAAGCACGUGAAUCUAUAUGGAGUGCACCUGAGAAUAUAAGAAGAAAAAAAUCAAUAUAGAAUCCAUGUUACUUCCAAAUUAUAUAUGUUGAAUCAAUAGGCCCAUUUGAGAAAAUUAUGUUGCUUCCAAAUUUCUUCAACGUGGCAUGGAUAUUCUUCAAAACAUGAUUUCAAGUCACAUAAAUAACAGUUGAAAAGAGCAUAAUACCACAACAAGGGAAAUGGAAAAUAAGAUUCAACUGUAAAUAUUCUCUUACAUGCAUGCCCUCCAAAUUUUGUAGUAAUCCGUUUUGGCCUUGGCUUCACUCUGAAAUUAUUGAGGCAAUCUUCUUAGAAAGAAGAGUAAUUAUACUCGUAUGGUGGAAACAUGUUGGGCUUCUGGCUGCUAGACAUUGGCAUAAACAUUUCAAUACAUGACGACACCAUGGACAAGAAAAGAUGGAAUGAAUCAAAGAUUAAUACUAUUUGCCAUAAAUACUUAUCCAACAACAACUAAGAAAAAACAAAAUUUUAGUAUCGUAAACCUGCCAGUUCCAACCAUUCAGACCAUGAGGAUCAUCAUCAUC